Canis lupus familiaris (dog) is the source of this 527-nucleotide long non-coding RNA. RefSeq lists it as uncharacterized. Lineage: Eukaryota; Metazoa; Chordata; Mammalia; Carnivora; Canidae. The record is from RefSeq and is a predicted model, not a curated record. The transcript is spliced from 3 exons.
UCUAAUGAUUCAUGUCCAUGGCAAUUGAAUUUCCUGGAGAAAAGCAUCCUGAAAUUUGAAGUUACAGUCUUGGCUUUUAAAACUCUGACUAUAAAACCUUUCUCUGAGUGGAAAAUAGGCUAAAUCAUGUUUUCUUGUCUUUUUCCUCUCACCUAUUCUGUUCCUUGAGCUUCUGAUUCACGACUAUGCACCAAGGACAUUGCGGAUGUGGGAGUGAAAUGAUUCUACAAUAUUUAGCUCUACAGAGAGAGGCAGACUUGGCUCUGAAGAGGCUGCUAAUUGGCUAAUCUAAUUUCACCUCCUCCGAAGACCUCAGAUGCCAGGAGCGAUGCUUAACUCUUCCUACACUGUCUCUGAUGCAUUUUUGAGUGGUAGCAAAUCUGAUCUCAAAGCUGUUUUUUCUGUAUAUUCCUGUGGAUUACGAAAAAGGGAGCACAUGUCUUUCUCAGCCCUCAGCUUUGUGCGGUGCUAAUAUGUGGGAAAGCUCUUGGGUCAAGAUGGAAGAGAGGUGGUCAUGAUAUUCAAAC